This 406-nucleotide ribosomal RNA is filed under the name uncultured bacterium. RNAcentral describes it as "partial 16S ribosomal RNA". It matches the Rfam family "Bacterial small subunit ribosomal RNA", at positions 30 to 526 of the family's 1533-position model. The record is from RNAcentral.
AUUGAACGCUGGCGGCAGGCCUAACACAUGCAAGUCGAGCGAGCGGCGGACGGGUGAGUAAUGUCUGGGAAACUGCCUGAUGGCGGGGGAUAACUACUGGAAACGGAAGCUAAUACCGCAUACCAUCAGAUUUGCCCAGAUGUGAUUAGCUAGUAGGUGGGGUAACGGCUCACCUAGGCGACGAUCCCGAGCUGGUCUGAGAGGAUGACACGCCACACGGGAACUGAGACACGGUCCAGACUCCUACGGGAGGCAGCAGUGGGGAAUAUUGCACAAUGGUCGCAAGCCUGACGCAGCCAUGCCGCGUGUGUGAAGAAGUCCUUCGGGUUGUAAAGCACUUUCAGCGGGGAGGCGUUACCUGCAGAAGAAGCACCGGCUAACUCCGUGCCAGCAGCCGCGGUAAUAC